Molecule: ribosomal RNA, 420 nt
Filed under: uncultured bacterium
Lineage: Bacteria
Description: bacterial SSU rRNA
Rfam family: Bacterial small subunit ribosomal RNA
Source: RNAcentral
GAGGAAUAUUGGUCAAUGGGCGCAAGCCUGAACCAGCCAUCCCGCGUGAAGGAUGACGGCCCUAUGGGUUGUAAACUUCUUUUCUGCACCAAGAAACGAGAUCUCGUGAGGUCUUCUGACGGUAGUGCAGGAAUAAGGACCGGCUAACUCCGUGCCAGCAGCCGCGGUAAUACGGAGGGUCCAAGCGUUAUCCGGAUUUAUUGGGUUUAAAGGGUGCGUAGGCGGGCCUUUAAGUCAGUGGUGAAAUCCUGCAGCUCAACUGUAGAACUGCCAUUGAUACUGUGGGCCUUGAGUACAGAUGAGGUAGGCGGAAUGUGUAGUGUAGCGGUGAAAUGCUUAGAUAUUACACAGAACACCGAUUGCGAAGGCAGCUUGCCAAACUGUAACUGACGCUGAUGCACGAAAGCGUGGGGAUCGAAC